This is a long non-coding RNA of Oreochromis aureus, 836 nucleotides long. The record is from Ensembl. Lineage: Eukaryota; Metazoa; Chordata; Actinopteri; Cichliformes; Cichlidae.
AAAAGGUGUUCGUUAAAAACAUCAGGUUAUGGGCCCAGAGGUCGCCAAGGGAAGCUGCUAACACGUUUUUUGGGAGUCAUAAACAGGAUUGUGGGAUUCACAAUGGAAGAUAGAAUGUUUAUUGACAAGCUGAGCGGACCGGAGAAUUGGGCAACCUGGAAAUUUCAACUGGAGCACCUGUUGAAGGCAAAAGGACUAUGGGGUAUGGUACAGGAGACGGAGCAGCUAGCUGCGGAUGCUAAUGCCCAAGUACGAGCUGAAUUUGAACGGAAGAAGGAAAAGGCUUUUUCAGUGCUGGUACUGAAUAAUCAGCAGAGAGCAUGACGAACUUAAAGGACACUCUGAAGAAACACUACAAAAUGAAGGACAUGGGAGGUGCAGUUAGUUGGCUUAGCAAGAAACAAGCAACAGUUGCACUUUCAACUGCAGAGGCUGAGUAUAUUGCUUUGAGCCAAGCCGCACAAGAAGGAGUUUGGUUAAGACGACUACUAACUGAACUUGGAAUGGAAACCACAGCAACAGUGAUCCUGGAGGACAAUCAAGGAGCAAUUGCAAUCGCAAAAAAUCCUGUUGAUCAUGCAAGAACAAAGCACAUAGACAUUCGUUACCACUACAUUCGUGAAUGUGUGCAAAAUGGACAAAUCCAGCUGAAGUAUUGCUGUACAGAGAACAUGAAGGCUGACAUCUUAACCAAACCACUGCCUAGACAAAGGUUUGAGUAUCUCAGAGAGAAGAUUGGACUGUGUUCAGUUUAAAAGGGGUUAUCCUUAACAUGCCUAUAUUAUGCUUAUGUUAAGAUGUCAAGCAUAUAAGUGUAAUGAAGAAUAAUAGUUUUG